This 404-nucleotide ribosomal RNA is filed under the name uncultured microorganism. RNAcentral's name for it is "bacterial SSU rRNA". It matches the Rfam family "Archaeal small subunit ribosomal RNA", at positions 330 to 735 of the family's 1478-position model. The record is from RNAcentral.
GCGCAGCAGGCGAGAAACUUCACAAUGUGCGAAAGCACGAUGAGGGAAUCCCAAGUGCUUGCUCGUAAGAGUAAGCUGUUUCUCUGUCUAAAACGCAGAGAGAGUAAGGGCUGGGUAAGACGGGUGCCAGCCGCCGCGGUAAUACCUGCAGCUCGAGUGGUGGCCGCUAUUGUUGGGCCUAAAACGUCCGUAGCCGGUUUAUUAAAUGCCUGGGUAAAUCGGACCGCUUAACGGUUCGAAUUCCGGGUAGACUGAUAAACUUGAGACCGGGAGAAGCUAGAGGUACUCCUGGGGUAGAGGUGAAAUUCUGUAAUCCUAGGGGGACCACCAGUGGCGAAGGCGUCUAGCUAGAACGGGUCUGACGGUGAGGGACGAAGCCCUGGGGCGCAAACGGGGAUUAGAUA